CAGCUGUAAACGAUGCGCGUUAGGUGUAUCGGUGACCACGAGUCACCGAGGUGCCGAAGAGAAAUCGUGAAACGUGCCGCCUGGGAAGUACGGUCGCAAGGCUGAAACUUAAAGGAAUUGGCGGGGGAGCACCACAACAGGUGGAGCCUGCGGUUUAAUCGGACUCAACGCCGGGAAGCUCACCGGAUAAGACAGCUGGAUGAUAGCCGGGUUGAAGACUCUGCUUGACUAGCUGAGAGGUGGUGCAUGGCGUGUGACUGU
RNAcentral lists this ribosomal RNA (261 nucleotides) under uncultured archaeon. Its description in RNAcentral is "partial 16S ribosomal RNA". It matches the Rfam family "Archaeal small subunit ribosomal RNA", at positions 748 to 1008 of the family's 1478-position model. The record is from RNAcentral.